This 606-nucleotide ribosomal RNA is filed under the name uncultured freshwater bacterium. Its description in RNAcentral is "bacterial SSU rRNA". It matches the Rfam family "Bacterial small subunit ribosomal RNA", at positions 8 to 607 of the family's 1533-position model. The record is from RNAcentral.
AGAGUUUGAUCCUGGCUCAGGAUGAACGCUAGCGGCAGGCCUAAUACAUGCAAGUCGAACGGCAGCGGGUGUAGCAAUACAUGCCGGCGAGUGGCGCACGGGUGCUUUUUUGCGUAUGCAANCCUACCCAUAACUGGGGGAUAGCCCGGAGAAAUUCGGAUUAAUACCCCAUAAUAUAUCGGAUUGGCAUCUUUCUGAUAUUAAAGCUCAGGCGGUUAUGGAUGGGCAUGCGUGACAUUAGUUUGUUGGUGAGGUAACGGCUCACCAAGACUACGAUGUCUAGGGGUUCUGAGAGGAUGAUCCCCCACACUGGUACUGAGACACGGACCAGACUCCUACGGGAGGCAGCAGUAAGGAAUAUUGGGCAAUGGAGGCAACUCUGACCCAGCCAUGCCGCGUGAAGGAUGAAGGCCCUAUGGGUUGUAAACUUCUUUUGUAUGGGAAUAAACGCGGUUACGUGUAACCGUUUGAAUGUACCAUAAGAAUAAGCACCGGCUAACUCCGUGCCAGCAGCCGCGGUAAUACGGAGGGUGCAAGCGUUAUCCGGAUUUAUUGGGUUUAAAGGGAGCGUAGGCGGGAUUGUAAGUCAGUGGUGAGAGCCCGUAG